This 297-nucleotide ribosomal RNA is filed under the name uncultured bacterium. RNAcentral's name for it is "partial 16S ribosomal RNA". It matches the Rfam family "Bacterial small subunit ribosomal RNA", at positions 28 to 334 of the family's 1533-position model. The record is from RNAcentral.
GACGAACGCUGGCGGCGUGCUUAACACAUGCAAGUCGAGCGGACGUAGCAAUACGUUAGCGGCGGACGGGUGAGUAACGCGUGAGCAACCUGCCUUUAUCAGGGGGAUAACACUUAGAAAUAGGUGCUAAUACCGCAUAAGACCACAGUCGGGCAUCCGACAGGGGUAAAAGCAUAUACGGAUAAAGAUGGGCUCGCGUCCCAUUAGCUAGUUGGUAGGGUAACGGCCUACCAAGGCGACGAUGGGUAGCCGACCUGAGAGGGUGAUCGGCCACAUUGGAACUGAGAAACGGUCCAA